Non-coding RNA from Aedes albopictus (Asian tiger mosquito), 58 nucleotides. The record is from Rfam. NCBI's taxonomy places the organism in Eukaryota, Metazoa, Arthropoda, Insecta, Diptera, Culicidae.
UAGCCUAGUGGUUAAGGCUAUGGAUCGCCAAUCUAGAGACGGCGGGUUCGAUUCCCGU